Solanum dulcamara is the source of this 411-nucleotide long non-coding RNA. RefSeq lists it as uncharacterized. The transcript is spliced from 3 exons. The record is from RefSeq and is a predicted model, not a curated record. NCBI's taxonomy places the organism in Eukaryota, Viridiplantae, Streptophyta, Magnoliopsida, Solanales, Solanaceae.
UGUAUUUUGUCAUUGACUUCCAAUCAUUUUUUACAAUUUUAGUUAGGAUUAACCAAAACGACCUCCAAAGAGUUAUGCUCUCAUGAUAGACCAGUUUUUAUUGAAGAGGUUAACACGAGCGUGUAAUGGUCUAAGACUGUAUGGAAGUGAAAAGCCCCGAAGACUUAAUUUGGAGCGUGCGCGAUUAGUCUAAAGGUCCGGGCACCAACUACCAACGUUGAUUCAAGCCUGCAGUGAUCUGACAUCGAAGACGAGGGUGAGCCCAUGACGUUUGAAUUUACCUGUCUCCUUCUGUAUAUAUUUUGACUAGUCUUUUGGCUUUUUGAGACAUGUCUCUAUUUCCAUGGUCCACUGUUGAGACUUAUACUCUUUUACACAGACAACUCUGUAUAUGUGAUUUUUCAGGUUCUA